CCUACGGGCGGCAGCAGUGAGGAAUAUUGGUCAAUGGGCGCGAGCCUGAACCAGCCAAGUAGCGUGAAGGAUGACUGCCCUACGGGUUGUAAACUUCUUUUAUAUAGGAAUAAAAUGAGGCACGUGUGCCUUUUUGUAUGUACUUUAUGAAUAAGGAUCGGCUAACUCCGUGCCAGCAGCCGCGGUAAUACGGAGGAUCCGAGCGUUAUCCGGAUUUAUUGGGUUUAAAGGGAGCGUAGAUGGGUUGUUAAGUCAGUUGUGAAAGUUUGCGGCUCAACCGUAAAAUUGCAAUUGAUACUGGCAGUCUUGAGUACAGUAGAGGUAGGCGGAAUUCGUGGUGUAGCGGUGAAAUGCUUAGAUAGCACGAAGAACUCCGAUUGCGAAGGCAGCCUACUAAACUGCAACUGACAUUGAUGCUCGAAAGUGUGGGUAUCAAACAGGAUUAGAUACCCCGGUAGUC
RNAcentral lists this ribosomal RNA (460 nucleotides) under uncultured bacterium. RNAcentral describes it as "partial 16S ribosomal RNA". It matches the Rfam family "Bacterial small subunit ribosomal RNA", at positions 338 to 795 of the family's 1533-position model. The record is from RNAcentral.